This 855-nucleotide long non-coding RNA is filed under the name Equus asinus (donkey). RNAcentral's name for it is "lncRNA (ENSEASG00005029694.1)". Lineage: Eukaryota; Metazoa; Chordata; Mammalia; Perissodactyla; Equidae. The record is from RNAcentral.
GCUUUAGACCAAAGGCCAGGAGGAGGAGCGUGCAAAAGCACUUCCAGUGUGGAGGAUAAGCCUGCGCGUCAUCGUUGCCAUAGAAACCUGACGUCAAUAUGGCGACCGCGACGGCUUCUAUAUAGAGACAGACGUGGCCUGGCCGGAAGAACAGAUCUUGCUUUCGAGUCUUUGGUACUCAGCCGACAGUUGGACCAUCAGAGAAGGGUGUGGACUCUGAGCCUCAGAAACAGGAGCUGAUAGAGAAGAACCAAAUGUGAUGUCAAGUGUGCAGACAGAUUCCUGGAGCAAGAGUGAAGAGAUCAAGGUCCCAUCAUUGGGACACUUAGUUUUUCUGUGGCAUGUGGGACGCCGCCUCAGCGUGGUUUGAUGAGCAGUGCCAUGUCUGCGCCCAGGAUUCAAACCAACGAAACACUGGGUUGCCUGCAGCGGAGCGCGUGGACUUAACCACUCGGCCACGGGGCCAGCCCCUCUUUACUAUAUGUUUUAGUAUCUGGUAGGACUAGCUGCCACCCCUUCCCACCGUGCUUCUUUUUCAGGGUUUAUUUGACAAUUCUUGCUGUCUUUUCAUCCAAAUAAAUCUGAUAAUCAACUAAAUUAUUAUCUAGUAUGAUUGUCUAAAUUCACACCAAAAUGCUAAUGGUAUUUAAUUUGAAACACAUUAAAUUAAUAAAUUACUUUGGAGAAAUUAGCAUCCUUAUGAUAUUGAGUCUCCUUACUCAAGAAUACCAUUGGGACCAUCCCUGUGGCCCAGUGGUUAAAGUUCUGUGUGCUCUGCUUUGGUGGCUGGAGUUCACGGGUUUGAAUCCCAGGCACAGACCUACUGCAUUCAUCAGCUGUGCUGUGGAGCAUCAC